This 600-nucleotide ribosomal RNA is filed under the name Caulerpa taxifolia. RNAcentral's name for it is "partial large subunit ribosomal RNA". It matches the Rfam family "Eukaryotic large subunit ribosomal RNA", at positions 49 to 664 of the family's 3401-position model. The record is from RNAcentral. Lineage: Eukaryota; Viridiplantae; Chlorophyta; Ulvophyceae; Bryopsidales; Caulerpaceae.
AAAGGGGGAAGGAAACCACAGGGAUGCCUUAGUAGCGGCGAGUGAAGCGGCAAAAGCUCAAAUUUGAAAUCUGGCUCUUUCAGAGUCCGAGUUGUAAUUUGAAGAAGGUAUCUUUGGGUCUGGCUCUUGUCUAUGUUUCUUGGAACAGAACGUCACAGAGGGUGAGAAUCCCGUGCGAUGAGAUGAUCCAGGCCUAUGUAAAGUUCCUUCGAAGAGUCGAGUUGUUUGGGAAUGCAGCUCUAAGUGGGUGGUAAAUUCCAUCUAAAGCUAAAUAUUGGCGAGAGACCGAUAGCGAACAAGUACAGUGAUGGAAAGAUGAAAAGAACUUUGAAAAGAGAGUGAAAAAGUACGUGAAAUUGUUGAAAGGGAAGGGCUUGAGAUCAGACUUGGUAUUUUGUAUGUUACUUCUUCGGGGGUGGCCUCUACAGUUUAUCGGGCCAGCAUCAGUUUGGGCGGUAGGAGAAUUGCGUUGGAAUGUGGCACGGCUUCGGUUGUGUGUUAUAGCCUUCGUCGAUACUGCCAGCCUAGACUGAGGACUGCGGUUUAUACCUAGGAUGUUGGCAUAAUGAUCUUAAGUCGCCCGUCUUGAACCACGGGACC